RNAcentral lists this unclassified non-coding RNA (219 nucleotides) under Hevea brasiliensis (rubber tree). Lineage: Eukaryota; Viridiplantae; Streptophyta; Magnoliopsida; Malpighiales; Euphorbiaceae. The record is from RNAcentral.
UGAUAGAUAUAUUUAUGUAUACAUAUAUAGAUACUGAAAUAUUUUGAAGGUACUUGUGGCGUUUAUGUCUAUCAUUUUGUCCUUGCAUCUCAGCCCGGUAUCUUGUUUCCUAUAGGGGGUUGUUUCUGUUUCUGUUGUUAGAGGUGGAUGGGAUUCUGAGGAUCUGAAUGGCUUUAUUUACGUUGCACAAUUGAAAAUCAAAAAAUGACUCAUUUUACG